This 184-nucleotide non-coding RNA is filed under the name Pontibacillus yanchengensis. RNAcentral describes it as "Lysine sequence". It matches the Rfam family "Lysine riboswitch aptamer". From Rfam's summary of the family: Riboswitches are metabolite binding domains within certain messenger RNAs that serve as precision sensors for their corresponding targets. Allosteric rearrangement of mRNA structure is mediated by ligand binding, and this results in modulation of gene expression. Lineage: Bacteria; Bacillati; Bacillota; Bacilli; Caryophanales; Bacillaceae. RNAcentral also lists the same sequence under 1 other name. The record is from RNAcentral.
CGAUGAGGUAGAGGUGCAUUUAGUAUUAGUAACCCUUUGGAGAAUGACAACGUUGAUAAAGGGUGAAAGGGCUACUUGCCGAAGUGUGAAAAAACGUCAUUUUUUUUACGCUGGUAUGUUCUUGAAUAAGGAAUAUACUGUCAUGCAAACCGAACGUUGGAUUGCAUGAUGCGCUACUGAUCGA